CUGCAGGUCUAGAGACAUCCAUCCCUCCAGCUCCCUCCAGUGAAACACAGCCUGCUGAAGAAACUAAACCACUAAUGUCCAGUGAAUCUCCUGCACCAACCGGGGACCAACAAGAAUGUACCACAACUACCCCUGAUGGAACUAUGGAUGAUCAAGAUGAAGAUUAUUAAGAGUCUGGGACCAGCCCCUCCCUCAAGCCCCACACAUAAUGGAUCUGUGUCAGUCUCUGUCCAUCAGGAGGACCAUCAGCCUGUCCUCAUCAAGAGAGACCAUGGAGCCUCCCAGUCCCCCCCCCUCAGUCUGGGUCCCCCCUCCCCCUCCCGGUCCACCCCCCUCACUCUGGGUCCCCCCUCCCCCUCCCGGCCACCCCCCUCAGUCUGGGUCCCCCCUCCCCCUCCCGGACAGCCAGCAGGUCGUUGGUUCGCUCCAAGUUGGUAUCAAGUUACUUUAAUUUCCCAAGAGCCAAGUUUCGUAUCGACUGUGUUUCACUAUUGAAGGGUUAUGACCUUGUAGAAGAACAAGUAAAACCAGAUAUUGAAAAUUCUGGAUCAACAUGAAAGUGAAUCUGGUGACUCAAACGGAGGGAGUAAAUACACCAGGCAGAUUAUUUCGAAGGGGCGUGUGGUGAUAAUCCAUAUUUGAAUCAAUCCUCACAAGCAAGGAUGUUAAUAAAUAGACAUGUGAGGUGUUUUCUGUGAGGCGUCCUGGGAUAUGAUGGGUAACGUUGGCUUGAGUACGAUCUCCAUCCUGUACAGCUAAUGUUUAUAUGGAGAUGUGGAGAUUGAGAUGUUGGGUGAGAGGAACCACUUGUCUUUGAACGGUUUAUUAGGAUAUUUCUGUUUACAAUGUUGUCUUUUUUAGUUUGAGCUCAAUGAGUGCAAUGUUGACCACUUGGUGAACAUGUUUUAGUUAAUGGAUAUGAUCUCCUGACGCUAGAGUCACUCUCACAACAUGUGAGAGUGAACCAUUUGGAUUAGAUCAAAUGUUUCCGUUUUCCUUAAGAGGUAAAACCCCCCCAUUGGUUGAUCAGGGCAGGGGGGGCCUUUACACUCUUUUUUUAAUGAUACUAUAUAUUUCACCCAUACGUGUCAUUUUGAAGAGAAGGAAACUGUUUCUACGUCAGAGAUUUAGCGCCAUCACUGUAUUGAAGGUGUUGGAUUGAAUUCAGGACCAAUAAGCUAAAUGCUAAACAGUGUUCCUCUGCUCCACUUUAAGUGAACCCUAGCCUGGUGCUCUGUGUGGCCCUGCAGGAGCUGAGGGCUGGUUUAACCACACUGAUCGCUCAAUGUGCAACAGGAGUGCAGCCGCACCAAGCCCCUGGGUCCAACCAGUCUGACUCGGGCCAGGUGAGGCUGCUUAAACCAGCCGUCAUCCACACACACUCCACAAAACCGUGUCUGAAACGGUCUGUAAGGCCAAAUCUUAUUUCUACCCCUUACCCCUUUCCCCUCCCCCUUGUUUUGAAGGGUUAAGGGGAAGGGGUAAGGGGAAGAAAUGGGGUUGGGCCUAAGUGUAUUGUUUUUUAACUUUAUUUGGAGAUUUAUUAAUGGGGAUAUUUUGCUUACAUUUUACGGUGUUUAUUUUGUUAACAGAUUUUGGGCGUUUGGAUUAUUAUCAAAUGGCCUUCUUUCAUCUGUCAAAAGUGCCCGUUCUCAAACCUUAACGACAGAAUAGGAAUGGUAGGUAACUCUGACAUGUAUCAUGGUUGUUCUCAAUGAUAGUGACUGCUAACCUGACAUGUUCAUGUAUUGUUUAACACUAUAUUAUUGUGUCUCUAACUGAUAUUUCUCAGAGUGACACAAGGUACUCAUCUUGCUUCUGGAAAUAUUGGACCCGAAGCUUGUAUCUGUUUUUAAAUGUGUUUGUAUUAUAAUUGUGGAUGCCUCAUUUGCAUCCUUCUUAAAUGUUUUGUAUUGUUUUAUAUAUGUAUAUAGAUAUAUAUAUUGUAUUUGUGCUGUCUUUAUGGACCUUAUAGGUCUUGAAUAAAAAGUUGAUUGAUUGUUAUAUAUAGCAAGGACCGGAUCAACUAUAUAAAAACA
Gadus morhua (Atlantic cod) is the source of this 2039-nucleotide long non-coding RNA. RefSeq lists it as uncharacterized. NCBI's taxonomy places the organism in Eukaryota, Metazoa, Chordata, Actinopteri, Gadiformes, Gadidae. The transcript has 2 exons. The record is from RefSeq and is a predicted model, not a curated record.